AGCAGCCGCGGUAAUUCCAGCUCCAAUAGCGUAUAUUAAAGUUGUUGCAGUUAAAAAGCUCGUAGUUGAAUUUCGGGACCAAUCUGCCGGUCGUGCCUCCGGUAUGCACUGGUUUUAUUGAUUUCUCCCUUCUGACGAAUCAUGAUGUCAUUAAUUUGGUGUCAUGGGGAAUCAGGACUGUUACUUUGAAAAAAUUAGAGUGUUUAAAGCAGGCUCACGCUUGAAUACAUUAGCAUGGAAUAAUGAAAUAGGACGUUUGACCCUAUUUUGUUGGUUUCUAGGAUCGACGUAAUGAUUAAUAGGGAUAGUUGGGGGCAUUAGUAUUCAAUUGUCAGAGGUGAAAUUCUUGGAUUUAUUGAAGACUAACUACUGCGAAAGCAUUUGCCAAGGAUGUUUUCAUUAAUCAAGAACGAAAGUUAGGGGAUCGAAGACGAUCAGAUACCGUCGUAGUCUUAACCAUAAACUAUGCCGACUAGGGAUCGGAUGAUGUUAAUUUUUUAAUGACUCAUUCGGCGCCUUA
Molecule: ribosomal RNA, 520 nt
Filed under: uncultured Glomus
Lineage: Eukaryota; Fungi; Glomeromycota; Glomeromycetes; Glomerales; Glomeraceae
Description: SSU rRNA
Rfam family: Eukaryotic small subunit ribosomal RNA
Source: RNAcentral